UCGGGAAUUUUGGGCAAUGGGCGAAAGCCUGACCCAGCAACGCCGCGUGAAGGAUGAAGUCUUUCGGGAUGUAAACUUCGUAAAAAUAGGAAGAAUAAAUGACGGUACUAUUUGUAAGGUCCGGCUAACUACGUGCCAGCAGCCGCGGUAAUACGUAGGGACCAAGCGUUGUUCGGAUUUACUGGGCGUAAAGGGCGCGUAGGCGGCGUGGUAAGUCACUUGUGAAAUCUCCGAGCUUAACUCGGAACGGUCAAGUGAUACUGCUGUGCUAGAGUACAGAAGGGGCAAUCGGAAUUCUUGGUGUAGCGGUGAAAUGCGUAGAUAUCAAGAGGAACACCAGUGGCGAAGGCGGCUAACUGGUCCGGUACUGACGCUGAGGUGCGAAAGCGUGGGGAGCAAACAGGAUUAGAUACCCGGGUAGUCCCUGAGCGGGCUGGCAAGGCGCAU
RNAcentral lists this ribosomal RNA (447 nucleotides) under uncultured bacterium. Its description in RNAcentral is "bacterial SSU rRNA". It matches the Rfam family "Bacterial small subunit ribosomal RNA", at positions 355 to 825 of the family's 1533-position model. The record is from RNAcentral.